This 710-nucleotide ribosomal RNA is filed under the name Bacillus thuringiensis. RNAcentral's name for it is "bacterial SSU rRNA". It matches the Rfam family "Bacterial small subunit ribosomal RNA", at positions 60 to 750 of the family's 1533-position model. The record is from RNAcentral. Lineage: Bacteria; Bacillati; Bacillota; Bacilli; Caryophanales; Bacillaceae.
AGUCGAGCGAAUGGAUUAAGAGCUUGCUCUUAUGAAGUUAGCGGCGGACGGGUGAGUAACACGUGGGUAACCUGCCCAUAAGACUGGGAUAACUCCGGGAAACCGGGGCUAAUACCGGAUAACAUUUUGAACCGCAUGGUUCGAAAUUGAAAGGCGGCUUCGGCUGUCACUUAUGGAUGGACCCGCGUCGCAUUAGCUAGUUGGUGAGGUAACGGCUCACCAAGGCAACGAUGCGUAGCCGACCUGAGAGGGUGAUCGGCCACACUGGGACUGAGACACGGCCCAGACUCCUACGGGAGGCAGCAGUAGGGAAUCUUCCGCAAUGGACGAAAGUCUGACGGAGCAACGCCGCGUGAGUGAUGAAGGCUUUCGGGUCGUAAAACUCUGUUGUUAGGGAAGAACAAGUGCUAGUUGAAUAAGCUGGCACCUUGACGGUACCUAACCAGAAAGCCACGGCUAACUACGUGCCAGCAGCCGCGGUAAUACGUAGGUGGCAAGCGUUAUCCGGAAUUAUUGGGCGUAAAGCGCGCGCAGGUGGUUUCUUAAGUCUGAUGUGAAAGCCCACGGCUCAACCGUGGAGGGUCAUUGGAAACUGGGAGACUUGAGUGCAGAAGAGGAAAGUGGAAUUCCAUGUGUAGCGGUGAAAUGCGUAGAGAUAUGGAGGAACACCAGUGGCGAAGGCGACUUUCUGGUCUGUAACUGACACUGAG